RNAcentral lists this long non-coding RNA (13251 nucleotides) under Marmota monax (woodchuck). The stretch from base 10152 to 10238 matches the Rfam family "let-7 microRNA precursor family". Lineage: Eukaryota; Metazoa; Chordata; Mammalia; Rodentia; Sciuridae. The record is from RNAcentral.
CUCAGGCCGCCGCGGCGGCGCCCGCCCGCAUCUCCAUCCGGGUCCUCGCGCGCUGCUCUCCGGGCGCGGCGGUAGGCAACGGCGGGCGCGAGGUCCGGGCCAUCCUGGCGGCGGCGGCGAGCGGCUUUCCCCGGGAGCCUGAGGUGGGUACGGCGGGCAAGGCAGCGAGCGCGGGGCCGUCGCCAUUUUAUUUCCCUCAGAUUCGCCGCGGCAGGCAGGCAGGAGGGGAGAGUUAUGCACCGGCCCGACGCGGCCUGAAACCCGUGGGACAGCCAGGCGCCCUCCCGUGGACGGGUGGGUCCGAGGUGGGCGGCCAGCGGAGGCUGUGGGUGCCCGGGACGCGGGCGGGGGAGGGGUGCCGCGUGGCCCAGGCGGCGCGGCCCCAGCCCCCUCCGCUUCCCGCCCAGCUCCUUACCGACGGGGCGGGGGAGGGGGUCAUUCUUCACAUUCCUUACCCCGCCCCUCCCCCCGCUUCAAUCAAACUUGGGGCGGGCGGAAGUUCCGCCUUUUGGCUGGCGCCCAUUGGCCUGCGCAGCCUCCUGCUGUGGCGUGACUGGCUGUGGCUGCUGCCAGGUCUUUAUGACGUCACUUCCGCUAUCAGGUUUGUGGGCCGGGGAGACCUUGGCCUUGGGGGUUGGGAUGAAGGAGUGAAGGUAGGAAGUGCUGGGGGAGGGACCGAGCGGGAAGGCGCGGGCGGGAGAGCCGGGGCUGGCUCCUUGCCCCUGCUCCGCUCGGCCGAGAGCCGAGCGGCCUCCGUCCUGGAGCAGCUGCUGCGGCUGGAGGUCCACCGCUGCGGCCGUCCUUGGUGAGGGGGAGGGGAACGAGAGAGCGGGAGGAAAUUCUAUCCCGGGGGAUGGGGUUGGGGAUUUGCUGCUAGGUGUCACCGGAAACGGCUCUGGCCUUUUUGACUCGACGCUGCAAACUCUUGGAACCGAAUGCCUCUCCCAGAGCUGGCCAGUAAACUUCCCCCCGCGCGCUUCUCUGCGAGCGGUGUGGUAACCUUUAUGUCCUUGGCCAGCGCUGCCCUUUUGCUCUUCCAACUUUUUACAGUAGGCUCUGUGUCGGAGGUGGUGGUGUGUAUUCUACUUAAUUUUCAACUUUUGAGAUUAAAAGUAAAAAAUAGACAAAUCAUGAAAGGGUUAGGACGCGGGGGAAAAGACCUUGGAAACCGAGUUAAAAAUCUUGAAGUAAAUAGGAGAUGAAGGCUGAGAUUUCAUUAACUUUAUUGACGACUUUUGCUUUCUUGGUUCUCAGUUCCUAAAAGUUAAAAACAUAAUUUAGCGUCUCCUGAAUUUAUUUCUAUUUGAAAAUCUUGAGAUUUAAGAAAAUUGUUGAAUUCUAAGAAUAAAGUUGUUUUUAUCCAUAUUUUUCUGUUGUGUGGCAGUCUGGUUUCCUUUACACUCAGGGUGUGUGCAUAGUUAAGGAACUAUCAACUUAGGAAUUACUUGGAGUUUAGUGAGGAUGUUUGAUUAUUAUACACAGGUAAAAUGUUAUUUGAAAUGAAAGACCGUUUUAGAGGAGAGACCUAAAUUCAGUUACUACUAGUAUUUAAAAAGUGUCACUUUGAUCAAAUAAAGUUGGUGUUGGGAAAAUAACUUUUUGAAUGAACUGCAGAGACAGUGACAGGUAUAGAGUAUUUGUCUUUAAGCACGCUUUCACCCUCCCUUCACUCCCCCUACCACAUUUGAUUGAAGUUCUGCUGAAUUUGAGCAUUUUGCAAGUCUGAAAAGUUUGAUAACACCCAGUCAUAAAAGAGAAAGAGAUAAAUACUAAACAAGUUUGUCUCAAAUGUUAUUUCUUAGGGCCUUUUUUUCCUUUUUAGCAUUAACUAGACAUUUCUUGGUUUAGAGUACAGCACCUAGAUUGUGUACCUUUAUUUUAAUAGUUAAAAUAGUAAGUACUGGUUUUCCAUACAGUGGGAAUUAGUGUUAGGAGCACUAAAUCGAUGUUUCAUGCUGUAUAUUCUGUCGUUGGGUCAUAAGUCAUUUUAGCGGUUGGUGAUCACAAUUUUAAAAAAUGAAAAUAGUGCAUGAAAUAGAAUGUUGAUUUUUUUCUUAUAUGCAGAUAUGUUCUCACAAGUUAUUUUUGUGUCAGAAUAUUAAAAACAUUCUUUUAAAGGGUAUUUCUCUCAUUAAUAGUACUGGUUGUCUUCAAGGAGUAUUGAAAACAGUCCUGUUUGUUUUUACAUUAAAUGAAACAUGUUCCCCUCACUUGAGUUUUUAUGAGUUGGGGAAUAAAUCCGCCACCCAGGAUCAGCAUGUGUUUCAAUCAUGUACUAUUAUUGUAGCUAUUAGUACUUUUAAUAGCUCAAGAUGCUUUUAUUUAGAUUGUAAAGGAUCUUUUUCAUCCCAGACUAUUAAUUGCCGGGGAUUUUCUUCAUGUUUAGAUGAGAAUUAAAGAUUCUGGAUCCCAAGUAAUAAGUUGUCAACAUUUCCUCGCAUAACCUCACUAGUGGAGUAAAGGAGGCCUGCUCAUUUCAUGCAGUUUCCCUGUGUGUGUGUGUGUGUUCUAAGCAUUGCAUAAUCACUUAAGAGUGGACUUCAUUAAAUAGCCAGAUAGAAUGAGUGCUAUCAUACGUUUUUGGUAUUAAGUCUUUGAAAUCCAGGGUGUAUCUUAACAGUUACAGAACAUAACACUUUGGGCUACUUACAUUUCAGGGGCUCAGUAGCCAUUUGUGGCUAAUGCAAUUUUAGUGGAUUGUCUAGUUUUUUUUUUUUCCAAAAUUAUAUUUCACUAGCUGAAUUUUUACAGUUUAAGAUAGCUAAAAAUGUCCGUUCAAAGCCACCUCUCACAUGUGAGUAAACUGUACCAGAUAAUUUCUUAGGUUCUUUCUGUAUAGCAGAUUGGAGUAUUCUGAGGCACCGGAAUGGCAAUACCUUCUUUGUUAAGUUACUUUUGACUUCUCUAGAAAUAUUUUAAGACAUUUUAGGUAAUUUGUUUUAAAAUGACACAUAGUCAGUAUGAUUUGAGAGCAUUUUGUUCUUCCAAAUAGUCAUUUUUCCUGCAUGUCAGUAUUGCAUUAGCAUCACAUGAGGGAUCAGCCACACCUCUUCCUUCCUUCCAUGGGAAAUUUUAUUUGGCCAAUUAUGUGCUUACCUAAUGCCUAGGAGGAAACUUUUUCUGUGUCAAUUCACAUUUCCACAGUGUUGACUAUGAAUUAUCUGUUGGAUACAGUUAUCAAACACUAAAGUUGACUUGAAUCUAGAUUAAAUGAACUAGAAGCUACCUUCUCUUGUUUUGGAAAUUGUGUAGACUGUACCGAGACUUUUCAGCCUGGGAAAGGAUAGGAAGGGCAGAUUUUAGAAUGGAGAAGUAAUCAUCAGUAAGCAAACAAGUUAUCCAAGUGGCACAUACUACCUCACACAAAAUAUUUGCAAUUAUUUACGGUUUGUAGAAUUAAUUUAGCUAUGCAAGGGUAGUAUGGAAUGUAUUUGUGAUAGUAAGGAAGUCGGUCCAAAAUGAAGAGUUUACAUCUGGAAACUUAGAAAGAAAACUGAAAAUUGACAUUGCAUUGGUUACCUUUUUAACAAUUUUUCAAAAUUUAGGCAUAUUGCUUUAUUAAUCAGCAAAGGCAUCUGAAGUAUCUGUUGUGUGUCUUAAGAGUAAAUGAAAUGGUCCUUUUGGGAAAGCUGACCUAGUACUUAGCUAUUUAAAACUUAACAUGAAUCUGUAGUGUUGCAUAGAAUAAGAAAUCGAGAUACUAGAAUUGGGUUAACUUCCACUGGAGACAGAAAUCUAGAAAACUCCAUUAUCUUGUCAAUAAAACAUGGAUUACUUCCCAUUGCUAGAAAUAAUUGCUUUUGCUUUAUAAAAGGAAGCAAAAUACUAUUGAAGAGUUUCCUUAAUGUUAGAGUAUUCCACAGGCAUCAUUCGUACAUCAUUUCAUUGAUAUUCAGCUAUUUGAAAUUAAAGGAAAUUUAAUUAUAAGUAACCACUGUUUGAUUUGUAUUCGAUUAUCAGCAAGUGAAACUGAUGUUAGAGAUGUAGUUCAUUUUAUGUGUAGGACAGUUUUGCUAAAAUGAAAUUUAUACACCCAUACAAUGGAAUGCGAAUGAAAGCUUUUAAAAAUAAAACUUUCUUGCCCAGCAUGUUCAAGCCCCUGUGUUUAGGCCCUAGUUAAAUAGAUAGGUACAUAAGUAGAUACAAUAAGAAAGAAAGUUUGAGCUAAAAGAAUGUAAACUAAUGUAAAGGGUAGGAAAUUAAACUUCUGGAGAAACAUUUUAGCUCAGAAUUAGAAUUUUUAAUUGCUAUUAAGUAUGUACGAGGUAGUGUAUGCCUGCUUGUGAAUUAAGUUCGAAUAUUUAAGAAUUUAGAAGCAAUUUUAAAAAUCAGGAAUGUUCCUAAAUUUCUCACUACAAAAGAAUAAGUACAUAAGGAAUGUGUAUGUUAAUUAACUUGAUUUAGCCAUUUCAUAAUUGCAUAUUUGAAAACAUGUACCAUAAAAUAAUAUGUGAUUUAUCAAUUUAAAACAACUAAAAAUCAAUUGCAAAAAAAAAAUUAGAAAAGUGAUUGUUAACAGACUUCAUCAUGAAACCAUGUUGAUAAAAAUGUAGAUAUAGACAAAUUUAUUCAUAAUUAAUAAGUAAAUUUGCCUCUUAACAGUUCUAAAUAAAUAACAGUUGUGACUGUCAGUAUAUCUGGGAAGGUAAGGUUACCCACUUAGGACAGUUUUCUCUAAUUAAUUAGAACAGUUGCUGUUUGUUGAUUUAAUUGUGACUCAGUAAGUUGCUUUGCAAUUGUCCUAAUCAAGACCCUAUGAGGUGUGGAUCUUAUAGUUGCCUGAAUGGAGACUAGAGAACUGGCAGGUAUCUCAAGAACACAACCACUAAAUAGCUAUUGAGCCUCAAAGCCUUUGCCCUUAGCACCUUUGUUUUCCUAACCUGCUCAGCUAAAAAUGAGUUUCUUUUGAUACAAUUUGUAUACAUUGAAUUUUUUAUUUUAAUUGCCAUGAUUUUGGCGGGGAGACCUGGGAUUGAACUCAGGGCACUCAACUGGGGAGCCACAUCCCCCAGCCCUUUGUAAAAUUUUAGAGACUGGUCUCACGCCUUGCUUUUGCUGAGGCUGUUGAACUCACGAUUUUCCUGUCUCAGCCUCCUGAGCCACUGGGAUUACAGGUGUGCCCAUUGCGCUGGUCAAUUGCCGUAAUUUUAAUGGGAGGAUAGUUCUAUCUACAGAUUGAGAUAGAAUCCGAAUAAGAAUAGAAGAUGAAUAAAAAGUCUAUCACUUUCUAAGAGUAUCAGGAAAAUCAAUUUUUGAUAGUUCUAGCUAAUAGAUACUUGCCUAGGAAUGUAAACAGGUCUAGGGAUUACAUGGUAUAAAGACAUAAUAAAUGGAGAGCCAGGAUUCAAACCAGGUUCUGGUUCUUAAGUACAGUUUAACCCUAGACAGAAAAAUCACUAAAGAUUUUCAGCUUAACUAUUCAUCCCACUCUCUUUAGUGUUCAAGCAUUGUAUAGUUGUGAUCAGUGUUUGUUAGUUAGGGUUUUUACUUCACUUCACUUUUAAAUGAAUAUUUCCAAUGGGUUCUCAUCCAUAAAUUCUAAGGUAGGAGUUGUAUUCUGUUUUUCUUCACCUCUGGGCACCAAUUCAGUUUGAUUUCUCUAAACUUGCUUAACUGAACGUUGCCUCCCCUAAGCUUUAAUAUUUUUCAACGCUUGCUCUAACUAGCACUUUUUAAACUGCCAUUUUGGAAAUAUUGUAUCAUAAAAUCAAUUUAUGAACAUAAUUAAAUGCAGGAGUAAGGGUUAAUAUUGAUUUGUGAGCAGUAUUUUCUAUUAGUAUUAUGCAGACGUGAGUUAUUUAAAAAUGUUAUUCUUGCUGUGGGUUGUAGAAAGGUGGAUUAACUGCUCUAAUGAAUAGUGAUGUUAUAUAGUAGAUGAUGUUCGUCCCUCAUAAACACCCAUUCUUUUUAUUUUUGUCAUGCUUUGUAAAUAGAUUCUUGUAAAUAGUCCUUGGUAUGUUUGUUAGUGGAUUGUUUUCUAACUGUAUGGUACCUGCUUACAUUGCUGGAUUGUUGGCAAGAUUGAAAAUUAAUGCAUUUUAGAACGUUUCAGAAUUUGGGGUUGGGGAUUUAGUUUAGUGGUAGAGCGCUAAACAUCCAGGAGGGCCUGGGAUUUGAUCCCCAGUACCACAGGGAGAAGGGCGAAAAAAAAAAAAAAAUCAAAUGUGCUUUUUUUGUUUGUUUGUUUUGUCUAGGACCAUGUGCAUGCUUGAAGCUACAUCCCUGGCCUCAAACCUGAUUUAAUUGGAUGAAAGUUGAAUAUUAGAAUAGAGGACAAUGCUGGUUCUGAGGAAAGAUUUUGGCUUUAUAGAUACUUGACUUUUGGGGGGACAGUUGUCUGCAAGUUUAUACUCAAGGUAUAUAACCUGGAUUUCUAGAAUUGGGCUCAGAUAUGGUAUAGCAUGUUUGGAGAUCCUGUGCUGCCUUCUCACUUUUGGGGCAAGUUAUCAAACAGCGCAGCACCAGCUUUCACGUAGAGAUGUUGGAAAGUGGGGCUUAACAUCUGUUGAAUGGUGGUAAAUCAUUCACCUUACAGAUUAUUUUAUGAGAUGUAUUAAUAUUAUAACUAAGAAAGCUGAGGGGCUAGGAAGAUUGAAUUAUUUGUAUAAGGUUUUGGUGGUGGUGAAUAUAGGGGCAGGAUUUGAACUGAUUUUUGUUUACUAGAGUAAUGUUCCUGUGAACAUUUGUCUAGUGUUUGUGUUCAGUUCUCUUGCAUAUAUACUUAUGAAUGUAAUUGCUGGGUCAUAUCGUGAAGUGUUUUUUUAGUCAACAAUAGGUUCUGACCAACACUGAAUCAAUUCUUCACCUCUGGGCACCAAUUCAGUUUGAUCCUGAUACUACCUGGAGUUAGUCCAGACUUUACAAGUUAAGGGCACAGUCCCCAAGACUCCUUCCUUUUCAGGUUCUAGUUUACUUGAAUUUUUGACCAGCUUGCUAUAACUUAAGGGGCUUUGUAUAACCCCCUUCUCCAGGCUUUAUAAUUUUCUAGAAUGGCUCUUAGAACUCAAGACAUUUUUUGGUCUAUCACUGGUUUAUUAUAAAGGAUAGAAAUUAGUAAGAGGUACUCUAAUAAGUGAGACCCAGAAGCAUUCUUGAGCUUAAGAGCUUCUGUCCCUGAAGAGUUGGGAUUGUGUCAUCUUCCUAUCAUGAGGACGUACUUGUCAGCUCAAAUCUGUCUACAUCAUGUCAUUUGGGGGUUUUUAAUAGUGAUUUCAGCACUGGGUCUGAUAGAUUACAUCAGGGGCCAUUGAUUGGCUCUCCAGCUCCUCCCACCUCCCUGAAGGUUGAGAGGUGGGGCUGAACAGUUCAACUUGGUCAUUCUGGUGACCAGUCUCCACUCUGAAACUUGUCCUAGGAGGUUUCAGUCACAUUAACAUUUUGGGGGAGAGUACCCAGGAUUGAAUAUUAACAGAUACUCAACCACUGAGCCACAUCCCUGGCCCUAUUUUGUAUUUUAUUUAGAGACAGGGGCUCACUGAGUUGCUUAGUGGCCCACCAUUGCUGAGGCUGGCUUUGAACUCCUGAUCCUGCCUCAGCCUCCCCAGUUGCUGGGAUUAUAGGCAUGUGACAGCACCCUGCUUCCCUCAUUAGCAUUUUUAAGUCAUCAUUUGGGAGAUUGGAGGAUGUUAGGAGGAGAUUCAUGUCAAGAACACCAAAUGGAAAUAGAGCCAAUUAUGUAUUUCUUGUACCAUAUGUGAUAACAGUUCAUCUCUUUUUUGGAGGGGGAGGGGGUGAUGGUGGUGGUACUAGGAAUUGAACCCAAGAGCAUUCUGUUUCUGCCUCAGAGCUCCAGCAGUUUUAAAAUUUACUUUGAGGUAAGGUCUCCAGGCAGACUUGCCCAGGCAGGCCUGGAAUUUGAGAACCUCAGCCUCUUGAUCUUGAGUAGCAGGGAUUAUGGGUAUGCAUCUUCAUGUCCCAGCUCUGUUUAACUUUUUGCUACUGGGCUUGGAACCUAGAAGUGCUUUACUACUGAGCUACGUCCCCAGUCCUUUUUAUUUUUUGAGGAAGGGUUUCAAUAAGUUGCUGAGGAUCUCCUUAAAUUGCUGGGCUGGGCUCGAAUUUGAGAUCAUCUUCAGCCUCAUGAGUCACAGGGAUUAUAGGUGUGCAGCACCAUGCCUGGCUGUUUCUUUUCAACGAACUGCUGAACUGUUCUUCAGAGCAGUUGUACCAUUUCACAGUUCCCACCAGAAAUCUAGGAUUCCAAUUUUUCCACAUUCUUGCCAGCACAUGGUAACUUUCUGAUUAUUAGCCAUUCUUGUGACUAUAAAGUGAUAUCUCAUUGAUUUGGGGUUGCAUUUCCCUAUUGACUGCUGAAUAUAGACUGUUCAUCAUAGCCUGUAUUCAUAGAUUUGCUAUUUUUGUCUGUAAGCUUUAUCUUCUUUGAAAUAUCUACUAAAUCUAUUAAAAUAUCUAUUAAAUACCUAUUAAAAUUCCAGUAAAUUAGGUAAUUUGUCUUAUGUUUUGUAUAUGGUAUGUUGUGGCGUGGUCAUUCAUUUGUAUUUGGAUAUGCUGUUGUCCUAGCACUAUUUACUGGAAAACUAUUCUUUCCCAGUUGAAUUGUCUUGGUGCGCUAUUGAGCCUGUGCAUAUAGAUUUAUUUCUGGACUUGAUAUUUUACUUCAUUGAGCAUAUCUUUGCUUACAUGUUUGAAAUUUUAAAAUGGGUGUUUUGUUACUAAGUCACUGCCAAAUAAAUUUCUUUCUUAAAUUUGGUGCCUACUUGAAAUCUUUGUGGUAGUUACCUUUUCAGUAUGAAGUCUGUAAAUUGAAGACUAAUAAGUAACAGGUUUUAGAUUAGUUGAGGUAAGAUUUAACAACACUGGUGUCAUGUAGCUUAGCUCAGUUUUGUACAAGUUGUUAAAUAUCUUGUACUCUGUCGGAUCCCAUCCUCACACCACUUUUCUAACUAAAAGGAAGAAUCCUGACCCUGACACAGAUGGGUUGAUUGUCUUUGAUUGUUUUUUGCUAGUAAGAUCAUUUAGUGUUUGCUUGUAUGGAAUAAACAAGUGGUUCCAUUGAAAAUCAGUUUUUCCUUGUGUCUAUUUUUUUUGUCAUUGCUUUGUACAUUAAUGCAUUUGGUCAUGGAUUAUGUAUGAUGUGUAGGGCUUUUAGGUUUUGAGGUAAUUGGAUUUUACCAGAAGCUUUUGUAUUAUUCCUUUGUAACGAUUUUUUGUUUCUCGAAGAUUAAUGAAUUUUUGUUUGCAACAACUAUAUGAAAAUCAAAGACUGAUAAUAUAGGGCAAGUAUUCUUCAUUUGAAAUGCUUGGGACCAGAAAUUUUAUGGAUUUUAGAAUAUUUGUAUAUAUAAUGAGAUUUUGGGGAUGGGAUUCAAGUCUAAAUAGAAAAAUUUAUUUGCUUUAUGUAUACCUUAAAAAUACAGCCUGAAGGUAAUUUUAUACGGUAAUUUUAGUGUGCUUGUUUUGGCUGUUCUUCAGCACAUGAGGUUAAUGUGAAGUUUUCCACUUGUCUCAUUAUGAUGCUCCAAAAGAUUGGAUUUUUGGGUUAGAAGUGCUCAACCUGUGGUUAUGAGAUAUGGUACAAAUGGUGAUUUGAAUCUUAUAAAUAAGUGGAUUCAGGUAACCAAGCAUUUUAAAUAGUAAAAAAAAAUAAAAAGAAGUGAAAGACAGUAUAGAUCAUACAAAAUGUGUACUGAAACUUCAUGUUCAAAUUAAAGGAAUGAAAAGAGGUCUAAUAUUUCUUUUUUUGCCCCAUUACACAGGAAACCAGGAUUACCGAAGAGAAAGCCUUUCCGUGGUGCUCCGCUGUGGUCCUUUUCAACAUUGACCCUGGAUAUUCUCUUCACUGUGGGAUGAGGUAGUAGGUUGUAUAGUUUUAGGGUCACACCCACCACUGGGAGAUAACUAUACAAUCUACUGUCUUUCCUAAGGUGAUAGAAAAGUCUGCAUUCAGUCAGCCUUACGGAAAGUUAAUAACUAGUUGUUCAGUGUUUAAAAUUAAUUUGUCUAAAAAAGAAUCUUUCAUUAUUUCCUAGAAAAGUCUUUACCAGGUAGACAAGGUAGAAAUGGGGCUACUUUUUGCUUAUCUCAUUUCUGUGUCGGAAUUAUGUUUUGUUUUGAUUGAUGCUGAUAAUUUUGUGUGAACUUUUCUUUUGAAAGAAAUUGUGCUCUUCAUUCCAGAGGAAAAGAUUGCUCUAUCAGAGUGAGGUAGUAGAUUGUAUAGUUGUGGGGUAGUGAUUUUACCCUGUUCAGGAGAUAACUAUACAAUCUAUUGCCUUCCCUGAGGAGUAGACUUGCUGCAUUAUUUUGUUUUUAUCUAGAUGAUGUUAAAGCUUGGAUGAAUUUUGACUCUUGUAUUUACAGUUGUCAGUUGUUAAUUUUCACCCUUCAAGUAGAGUACAGUAGUAGACACUGAUUUAUCUUUUAAUUUUCACAUGAUAUAUUUCAGAAAUUUGAAAUUAAGCAAAAAUCUCUGGAGAAAUGUACCUUUCAGGAAAUUUUUAAAAGAAGACCAAACCCUUUUAGGAUGUUCCUUGCCCUACAUUCUGGUAUAUAUGUCUAGAGUGAGCUUUAGCUUGGUAUAAAGGUACAUACUAACUGUAAGGGCACUGUUGGAGCUAAAUUUGAGUCAGGUUGAUUAUUUCAUUCCUAGUCUGGGGUUUUGAGUAGCUUUGGAGAAUACUAAUAUAAGCACUACCUCAUUGGUGUAUUGACUUGGACAGAAUUUAUUCACUAUCCUGAAAAGGGGGAGAUGGACUUUGGGUUCUGCUUUUGUUCCCUGGCAAGUUGCUAAGAAAAACUGAAGUGGUUCUUUAUUCCAAAACUGUUAGGUAGGAAAGUGUGUGUGUUGCUUAAAAAAAAAAAAAGACAAAUAUUAGAAAAAAACAUUGAAUUUGUUUUAACAUCCAUAAAGGCCCAUAUUUCAGCUUUCUUCUGGUGGCCAACCCAUAUGCUUCCUUGGAUAUUAUAGUCAAGCAAGACUAAGAACUCCAUUUUAAAUGCUUGCUCUUUAAACAAUUUUAUUUUGAGGAAGAGAGGGGAAAGAGGAAAAAUGUGACAGUGAGGGAGAAAUCUUCUUUUCAAAGAUAUUUCCAUUUAGUAUCUUAGCAUCUUGGAUGAUUACCAUGCAUUACCAUUGGUGGUGGGAACUUUAGAGGAAACAUGAAAACUCUUGGAUUGGUCAAAUCUAGAUGUUUUGUCCUGAACCAAUAUUUAUGCUUAUUUCAUCCCUGGCAUGUUUGUUCUUGUUCCAAAUUGGAUGUGUAAACACUGGAGGGAAACAAAUUGCUAAUAUGCAUCACCCACCUGCUGAGUAUGUGACAAGUACAGUAGUGGAAUUUUACGGUUUUCUGUUAAGUGCCCCUCCAAUGUGGAUAUCUACUGCUCUGAACUUGGAAACUUCACUAAGGUCUGGAGAAAAUUGUGUUUAUAUUAUCGAUUAUGUUAGGGCCUAUUUCAAUAUCAUUAUUAUUAUUUUUUUUUUUAGAGAGAAGUUUUUUUAAUAUUCAUUUUUUUUUUUUUUUUUUUGGCGGACACAACCUCUUUGUAUGUGGUGCUGAGGAUCGAACCCGGGCCACACGCAUGCCAGGCGAGCUUGCUACCGCUUGAGCCACAUCCCCAGCCCUCAAUAUCCUUAUUAGCUAAGCAGAGAAAGUGGAUCAGAUUGUGAAGAACUGAUAUAUUUUGUAAACAUAAUUUAAAAAGGAACCUUUAUGGAGACUGUGGCAGACUCUAAAAGCUUUUUAAUGGCAGCAAAAAUGAUGACCAUAGUGCUUCUGUUUACUGUAAUUCAGGGGUGAAGAAGGGACUAACUGGAUGUAAUUCUGAAAUGUGACCUCUCAAGUCAUAAUUUCCUCCAGUUGAUAGGUGGCAAACAGGAUUUAUAUACAAUAUUUAAUCAAGAGAGGCUGGAGGUUUUAUGAAAUUUGAUCUUUGAAUCUUGGUAAUUAAAUGUCUAAAGUAAUCCCAAGUAACCAUAAACAAAACAAAAAAAUUUAAAUAAAAAGCUGAGGCUCUAGUAUGUGGUAGGUUGAGUUAGAGGUCUGGCUUGUAUUCUUUGAUGUAAUUACUUUCUUCUUUUUAACUUGAGGUUUGUUUUUAAGCAAGUACUGUUUUGGCUUAUAGAAAAGCCAUACAGUCAAUAACUUUAAAAGCAUUAGUGAAAGAAUUCUAGUUGGUUGUGUUUGAAACAAGAUUGAAAGAAUAUGGCCUAAUUUAACUGGGUAUUUUGAUGUGCACCUGCCAAAUAGAAGAUCAGCAAGAAUAAAAUGGGUUCCUAGGAAGAGGUAGUAGGUUGCAUAGUUUUAGGGCAGGGAUUUUGCCCACAAGGAGGUAACUAUACGACCUGCUGCCUUUCUUAGGGCCUUAUUAUUCUACGGUGCCCUGUUUCCUUGUUACUUAUUCAGGUGUAAGCAGACUUCUUACUGCAGGUUUUCUCAAAUGAAAACAUUGCAGGAAUACAAAAGACAGUAGUGUUUGCAUUAGUGUCCUGUAAUUGCAACAUGGUGCCAACAUUAAUUACUGACAGUCAACUAAAGAGAAUUUGAGAAUUGUGAAAUAUACUUAGUUGCUUUUGUGUUUCACUUUGGUCACUGGAAGGUUUUGGAAAGCACCCCCCUCUCCCCCCCGCCCUCGCUUUCCCCCCCCCCCUCAAAUUUCCCUUUCUCUAACACCUAGGUCACUGUCAGCUAUUCCCCUCUCUGUAGCCACCACAUAUGUCUGAAGAGAAAGCAUUUAACAAAAUGUUGAAAUAUUUUUCUAUUUCUUUCAUUGUGUUUGUGAAUGCCUUACAAAGUUUCUGGGUUUCUUUUGUCUUCUGGAUUUAAAAUUUGAGGCCAUUCUUAAGAUGGUAUUUCAUAGUGUGGGACUUGAUGAUCACAUUGAGCUGCUUAUUAUAUAUGUAACCUUGUGAUUGAAUCUGUUAAAUGAAUGCAAGAACUAGAAAAUUAUUCAGGUACUUGAAUGAAAAUGUUUAUCAUGAUAGUGGAGUUAUAAUAAUUUAAGACAUACCUUCUCAAUAAAAAUAUUACAUAAUCUAAAGCUCGUGCUUUUAAAAUCAUUCUUAUUCUACUACAUACUUGCUAACUUUGCCGUUGUUGAAGUACUAAUUCUGUAUUUAAAUUUAUUUUAGGAUUUGUUAAAUUUCAUUUUUCAUAAAUGCACAUUUGAUGAUUGUAUUAUCAUUCACAUAUAAAUAAAGCUAACUGAAGCGAUAUCUAGCUCUUGCGUUUUUGUUAACUAUUGUGACUUUAUCCAUACAACUGUAUUUGCCGGUACACCCUGCUUUCUUUACUUAAU